This is a long non-coding RNA of Clupea harengus (Atlantic herring), 282 nucleotides long. RefSeq lists it as uncharacterized. The transcript is spliced from 3 exons. NCBI's taxonomy places the organism in Eukaryota, Metazoa, Chordata, Actinopteri, Clupeiformes, Clupeidae. The record is from RefSeq and is a predicted model, not a curated record.
GAAAUAGCAGAAUAAACCAAAGGGCUGUCCAUUCUGAUGCCCAUGAUGAGACAUACACAGCUCUCAACCCCAGGAGCACAUCCUCUGAGUAUGACACUCUGCAGAACGUGAGGAAUGUGAGUGACACCUACAUGCCUCUCCAGAGAAGAGCUCAGGCCUCAGUGUAUGAGACUCUGCAGAGAAGAGAGACGCCCCAGUCAGAGAUGGAGCUGAAGGAUCUCGGGAUGAGAUGCCAACACCAACCAUGACUUCUGGACUCUCCAUCUCAUACUUACUGCUGCC